This 240-nucleotide ribosomal RNA is filed under the name uncultured Leptospiraceae bacterium. RNAcentral describes it as "partial 16S ribosomal RNA". It matches the Rfam family "Bacterial small subunit ribosomal RNA", at positions 1142 to 1382 of the family's 1533-position model. The record is from RNAcentral. Lineage: Bacteria; Pseudomonadati; Spirochaetota; Leptospiria; Leptospirales; Leptospiraceae.
GAGGGAACUGCCGGUGAUAACCGGAGGAAGGUGGGGACGACGUCAAGUCAUCACGGCCCUUAUGUCCAGGGCUACACACGUGCUACAAUGGCCGGUACAAUGAGUCGCAAGACCGCGAGGUGGAGCCAAUCUCAAAAAACCGGUCUCAGUUCGGAUUGGAGUCUGCAACUCGACUCCAUGAAGUUGGAAUCGCUAGUAAUCGUGGAUCAGAACGCUACGGUGAAUACGUUCCCGGGCCUU